Long non-coding RNA from Aethalodelphis obliquidens (Pacific white-sided dolphin), 2344 nucleotides. RefSeq lists it as uncharacterized. The transcript has 4 exons. Lineage: Eukaryota; Metazoa; Chordata; Mammalia; Artiodactyla; Delphinidae. The record is from RefSeq and is a predicted model, not a curated record.
GUCACAGAUGAGAAUGUAUGAUGGUGAAAGCCUCUAUUCAUUAUGAGAAGUCUCUAUCCAUGGAUAUGUCUUUCUGGACAUUUUCUUUUUAUGAAAUAAAAUGACUACCAUCUUACAAGCUCCCAGAACUGAAGGCUAGAAAUACAGUACUAGUGGUCAUAGAAAAUGGAAUGAAAUAGAGACCGAAACCCUACUGCAGAUUAAGAAAGAAAAAAUCAUCUCUAUAUAAGAAGGAAAACCUUGGAAAGAAGAAAUAGCUAGAUGCUGCUACAUCCUUCAUAUAUGUGUAGUCACAAUCACAAAUGAGUUUCUUAAAGUCAACAUUUCAGUAAUGCCUCCAAUUGUGUUCAUAAACUGAUCCUAAAGGACUGAUCAUAGAAAUAACUGCUGGAAAGCCCUGAAGGUGAAGAGGAGUGCUGACUCUGUGUUUAAACAAAAAAUAGAUUUAAUCACAUGAACUGUGCUGGAAUUAUUUUCAUUCAACAUUUCAAAGAUGUGGUAAUUUUUUAUAUCAUCUUGCCCGAGUCCUGGUUUUUGUGACAAGUAAUCCAUCCUGAGUUAACUCCUUAACUGGGGAUGGGUAAGUGCUUUCCUUAUAUCUAAGCUAUGCUCUCUGUAAAACAGUACUUUGAGAUUGGGACAGUAAGUAAUGUGUGUGUGUUUGUAUGUGUGUGUGUGUGUGUGUGUGUGUGUGUGUGUGUGUGUGCUUUAAACUAUACAUUUUCACACUGACUCUAUCAGAAAGUGGCAUUAAGUCACUGGCGGGGCGGGGGGCAUUUUUUAAAAGCUAAAUGAGAAACCCAAAAACAAUAGGAGGCUAAGUUUUUACAGCAUGCACUAAAGAACUAUGAUUCUAGAAUGUAACUAUGCCUUACUAUAUAAGGGUGAUACACUUUUUCACAGAACUGUUUAUAUAUGCUCCAUGUACAAAAUGGGCAUAUUAAAAUUACUUCUGAGUGAAUGCAGAGAGUAAAGAGUGAUCACAGAUUUAGGCUUAUAAACAGACACAGGAGAAAACUAAAUUUUGAUGUUUCCUUUAUUAAAUACAAAGUAGUAUAUAUUAAAAAUCAGUUUUCAAUAGAAUAUUAAGUAAAUGCCAUGUAUUCUGGAAUUUAGUGCAGUUGCUUAAUGCAAUUAUGGUAUGACAUUAAAACCUAAUUCAUUUUGAAUACCAUGCUAUCCAAAAGAGAAAAAUAUUACAAUGCACACCAUUAUUCUAAGCAUCACACUUGACAAGUGUAAUUUUAUAGUUCGGUGUUUCCCAGAUAAGAAAGAACAUAUCCAUUCCCACCUACCCCAACUCCAAGCACAAUAUACACUUCAAAGAAGCUAUGAGUCUUCAUUUCUUCAAGUAGACUUGAGACUUCUUGAGGUUAGGAAAUGUUAUUUUGUAUCCUCAUCUUAUUCAUUGCUCCUAAAUAUGUAUUUAUUAAAUAUUAUUAAAGAAGAAAGAUUUAAGAAGACUGUUACUUUGUAGCUUUUAGACCUUGGUAUGUCUGUGUAUUAACCACUUGACUGUUUACAGAUAAAAGGACUAGAUUUAGGAUUUACUCCCUCAUUCAUAGCCAAGACCAAAAUGUAAGGUUAGGAAUUUUAGAGGUCUUAAAAUAAAGAAAAGAUUGUAGGUCAUUUAGUUCUGUGAACCUACAGUUUGCUGCUGAAUUAGGAAGAUUGCAAGAGUUCACCAGGCAAGUCACCUUCAAGCUGUCAAUAUAUGGUCUUUGCCUCUCAAGGGAAACCAUGCAGAAACAGACACUUAAUUUUUUUUCCCACUGUAUCCCUACCUAAUUGUUUAGCAGCAAGGAUCUCAACAAUCUGUACAGCAGAUGUGACUACCUCACUUAACACUAUCAUAGGAAGGAAAUAAGGGCAGAAGAGUCAUAUGCUAAUGGUAAAGAUGCACAGAGAAACUGCUGCCUGAGCACAGAUAACACACCUCUCUCCAGCCAUCUGUCCCACCAUGUGUGCUGCACAUCACAGGAGGAUAUGAGAGGGGUGGACAGCUGACAAGUUUUUCAGAGUGGCAAAAGAAUGGCUUUCAACAGCAGUGUGAUACUAGAGGAUAAGAGUUUUUAUUAAUAUUGCAAGGAAUGUAUUAUUAUUGUUACUUAAAGGACCAAAUGUUUUAGCAUUGCAUAUUUUUUAAAAAUAAAUUAAUGUCAUGUUAUUCCUUUCUCUCACUCACUGCAUUCUGAUGUUCUUUCUUGAGUGGCGGGGAGAGAUGCAUAGUUACAGCUGAAAUGCAAGAAUGGCACACUGUGGUUUCUGGUAUAUGACACCCACUCUGCAUACAUAAAUGAGACCAAGGUGGAGAGGGGCUGCUGCUGCAGGAAAUCACAGACUG